UCAACAGCAGACGAAAUAGACAUGUCCACUAGGUGGACUCUUACAGAAUACCUGUCCAGUUCAACUGCUAUCUGUAAUCCACUUCCUACAACACUGAAAGUUCUCUGCGGCGAAGCACUAUGCCGUGAUCAGACCCUUGGUGAGGCCACUGCUAGCGGGAACACGGGAGGCCGUGGCAGCCCUCUGCGGAGCAGGUCCACCGACUCCUCGUGAAGCGCUGCUGCGCAGGCGCAAUCAAAGCGACAGGCGGUGCGCCUGGCGCGUCGUCUGCUACAGUUUUUUCCCUCCGCCGCUCCCUUUUGCACUGCUUCGAUGCUCGCAUGGCUACGUUCUAAACGGCAACGGAGUUUUGUGACGAAAGUGAGAUUCACACGGAAGGAUGGAUUGUCGACCCAGCCAACCGGAGGAGCACGUCGUAGUUCAGUGCCUGCGAAUCACGCCACACUCAAAAAGAUGGGACGCGACGUGCUGUCGGCGUCAGUUGCUGCAGCCCAACCGCUUCACAGUCGUUCUUGGACUAGGUCGGCACACCGUCUCGUCAUGUAAAUCAAGCCUAAAAGCCAGGUCAUGUAUGUGGCCGCGUUCUUCUUGAUGCAGAGGCGAUAAAACGCGCCAUUACAUCUGCAUCGUCGAGAAUAAAGAACAGCUAGAGCAGACCAACCUUUCGCAA
RNAcentral lists this long non-coding RNA (670 nucleotides) under Dermacentor andersoni. RNAcentral describes it as "uncharacterized LOC126517519". Lineage: Eukaryota; Metazoa; Arthropoda; Arachnida; Ixodida; Ixodidae. The record is from RNAcentral.